GAUUAGGUGUCUCUCGGGCUGACUUUUGAAGGUCUGGAGCUGGCCGUUUAUGAGGGUUUAUAAGGGUUUUAAGCGCUCCGGCCAUGGGCACCAACCCGAUCUUCCAGCCCCUGCGGACGGACUGCCCCCCCCCCGCCCCGGGGGGAUUGGCUGCUCUGGGACCCCGAGCCCAGAGGGCAGUGAGAAGCUGACAAACCUUAAAUACAGACCAGAAGAGGAGUUUGGGGCUUGACACCUGACAUCUUAACACCAGUUCCUGUUUCUUGAGGAAGGAAGAGGUAAAAUAAAUCAGCGUUUACUGUGUAGUUCUCCAUCCCCAGAAGUCCUGAUGAAGACCCUCUCAGCUUCUACUUGAACGUGAAUAUGAGCAACUGAUCAUCUGUUCUGAAGUCAGCCCCUGGCCUGAUUCUGACUCAUGGUAUUGACCUUCUCCAUCAUCACCUUCCACAAAUUUGAUUCCUAUCUAUUCUGCCUGGAAUGGUUCACGAGUAUAAUCACCAUUUAUGUUCCUGACGAAAGCAGGUGAAGACAUUCGUUGAGAGAGGCAAUUUCCAUGCGUGCAGGCAAAGUGUGUGCUGAGAUGAUGAGUUGCUGGAGACCAGGGUGGACUCUUCAGACCCAGAAUAGGCCUCUGGCAGGCAUUCUAUCAGGCACUCCAAGCUGUGAAGUGCAUGGGGGGAGAAAGAAGAGAUUUCAGAGAAUGAACACAUACAGAGAGAGAGGCAAGAGAUGGUGAGUGGGGAUGUCUUGCAUACUGAUAUCCUGAGGAAAGUGGGAAAAUUGGACCCUGGCUUGCUCUGCCAAUGCCGUGAAGCAGUCCGCACCAGGGGCUCCCUUGUGCCUGCAUAGCCUUUCCCAGGGUGUGCUCAAAUCCUUUGGCCACUAGGUGUCCUAGGUCACAAUGGAGGACCCUGUGUCAUCUGCCUGGUGGACUGGAUCUCUGCCAUUGGCUAAGUCUUGUCACCAGGCCCAUCAUAAGCUCUGCCCACUCUUCCGGUGGGGAGACUCUCUCCAUGGUGAUGGCAAAGAAACCUUAGUCCCGCCCACCUGGCCUUGACUUCACCUACCUGGCCUGCUGACCCUCACCCAGACCUCUGUGUGGAUGAAAAUGAAUGUCCACCAGUGGCCCAGUGUCAGCGUCUGGUAUAAAGGAUUCGGGACGUUUCCUGAGGCAGAAGGCAGCCUACGUCUGCGGGUACCUGGAAGUCUAGUGACUUGUGAUGCUGCUGCCAGUGAGAAAUGGUGACUCCCACACUCACAUAUCCCCUGGUGGCAGAAUGAUAGUGAUGGGUGGAGAAACAUGGCUCCGGAGCACAUGUUCAGUGGGGCACCGGCCAAAUGUCAGGGCCAGGAGUGGACGUCGUGGAGCUGCAUGGCGUGCCAGUGAAGGGCCCAAGGAUUUCUCCAAUGAGGCAAAAUGCAGAUCAAGCCAAGGAACACAAAGAUAAAGCAGCUGAAGAAAUUAAAAAGGUUACUCAAGAACAUAGUUAAAAAUUUAAUAAGCUGCAAGAAACCAUAGAGAGACUGCAAUCAGAGAUUCAGAAGAUUAACAAUAAAAUUACAGAGUCAGAAAACUCAAUAGAAAGUAAUAAGAGCACAAUUGAGGAAUUGGAAGGCAGAAUUACUGAGAUGGAAGAUCAAACUCUUGGGACUAAUAUAUUUGAAGAGAAAGCAGAUAAAAGAAUUUUAAAUGAAGAAAUCCAAAGAAUCAUGUGGGACUUUAUCAAGAGAAAUAACUAUGAGUGAUUUCAGUACCAGAACAGGGAGGGCUAACAGAAAAUACAGAGGGAACUGUUGAAGAUUUGUUGGCAGAACUUCCCUGAUAUCAUGAAAGAUGCUCAUCGAAUUCCACAUACGGUAGAUCUCAAAAGAAAGUGACCGAGACACAUAAUAAUCAAACUUGCCAAAAUCAAAUAUAAAGAGAAUUUUAAGAGAGGCUAGGGAUAAAGGAAGUCACCAACAAAGGAGAGUAAAUAAUAAAAAACUUGGACUACUCAGCAGAAAUCAUGCAGGCAAGAAGGCAAAGGGAUGACUUACACAAAAUAUUGAAGGAAAAAAAUUGCCAGCCAGGAAUCAAACCAUAACCCUGGCCCUCUGGCCUUCGGGCCCUCUGGCCUUAGCCCUCUAACUCUAGCCCCUAAGCCCUGAGCCCCAAAGCCCCUAAGACCCUAAGCCCUUAGGUCCUAACCCCCAAGGCCCUAAACUCUAACCCUAACCCAAACCCUAACCCCUAUUCCCUAAACUCUACAACCUAAACACCUACACCCCAAAACACUACACAUCAAAACCCUACACACUAAACCCUAUACUCUAAGCCUCAAACCCUAAACCCAAACCUCAAAUCCCAAACCCCAAACCCUAAACCUAACCGUAAACCCUAAACCCUAACACCUAACCCUAACCCCUAACCACCCUAACCCUAAUGACCCUAACCCUCGAACCCUAACCCUCUAACGCUAACAUGAAACCCUAAUCCGAAACCCUAACCCUCUAACUCUAACCUCUAACCCUAACCCUCUAACCCUAGCCCUAAUCCUAACCCCAACCUCCAAACCUAACCCCAAACCCUAAACCUCAAAUCCCUAGCCCUAAACCUAAGAAUGAGCCUAAGCCUAACCCUAUCACUUAACUCUAAACCCUAAACCAUAACACUUAAAACCCUAACACCCUUAGCCCUAACACAUUUAACCCUAACACCCUAAACGCCAAAACCCUAAACACUAACACCCUUAACUCCAACCCCUAACCCCUAAACCCUAAGCUUAAACACUAAACCGUCUAACCCUCUAACCCUAAUACCCUAAACCCUAACCCCAGCCCCCAGCCUUAACGCUCACUCUAAGCCUUAAACCUUAAGCCCUAAACCCUAGGCUCUAAGCCCUAAGCCCUAAACUCUAAAUCCUAAAACCCUAAACUCUAAGCCCUAAGCCUAACCCUCUAAUCCUAAACCCUAAAACCUUACCCCAAACCCAUCCCAAACCCCUAAACCUGAACCCCUAAGCCCUAGCCCUAACCCUAAUCCUCUAAGCCUAACCCUCUAACCCUAACUCUCUAACCCUAACCACAACACCAACCCCAACCUCUGAACCCAAAAACCCUAACCCCCUAACCCCAAGCUUCUGAACCCUAAGCCUAAACCCUCUAACCCUAAAUCCUAACCUUCACCCCCUCACACCCUCACCUUCUCACUCCCUCACUCUAUAAUCUUCUCAACUUCUAACCCCCUCACCCUCUAACCCCUCACCCUCUAACUCCCUCAAUCUCUAACCCCCAACCCUCUAGACCCCAACCCUCUAACACCCACCCUCUAACCCCAAACCACAUAUCCCAAACAGACCCAACACCAACCCCAACCCUAAACCUAAACCCUGACCCCUAAAACCUAAACCAAACCCUAACGACUAAACCCCAAAACCCUAAACCCCAAACUGCAACCCCUAACACCUAACCUUAACUCCAAACUCUAACCUCAAACCCUAAACCUAACCCUAACACCUAACCCCAACCAAAAAACCCUAACCCUAAACUCUAACCCCAAACCCUAACGACCCUAACUCUAACAACCCUAACCUUAACAUCCCUAAGCCCAAACCCUAACCCUUUUUGUUAGCAGCCAUAGCACUUAACCACUAGCCACCAGGGUUUCCAUGAGCAGUCACAGGAAUAGACACAUGCACACCCGUGUUCACUGCAACAUUAUUCACAGUUGCAAAAAGAUGGAAACAACCUAAGUGCUCGUCCACAGAGGAAUGGAUAAACAAACUACGGUACAUACACAGUGGAACACUACACGACAAUAAAGACCAAUGAUGAAUCUCCGAAACAUCUCACACCAUGGAUGAAUCUGGGGCGCAUCACACUAAGUCAAUCACAAAACGUCAUAUACAGUAAGAGACCACUAUCAUAAAAACUCAUGAAAACAUUUACGCACAGAAACAAUCCUUGAUGUUCACCAGGGAGACGAAGAGCGGGUAGAGAAAAGCCAACUAAACAAUAACCAAAAAAACCAAACCCACUGCUGUCGAGUUGAUUCCAGCUCAUAGCGACCCUACAGGACAGAUUAGAACUGCCCCCAUAGAGUUUCCAAGGAGUGCUUGGUGGAUUCGAACUGCAGACCUUUGGUUAGCACCGGUGGCUCUUAACCACUACGCCACCAGGGUUUCCAACCAAACAACAGAUCGGUGGUAACUCUGGCGAAGGAAAGACGGUACACAAGACUGGGGAAUCAAUCUCAGCCUCACUCUAACCCUAACCCUAAACCACUUGUGCCCGAGCCUAGUAACCCCAGCCCUAACCCCAACCCCCAACCACCUAAAACCUGUACCCCUAAACCUAACUCCCAAACCUCUAACCCCCAAACCUGGACCCCUAACACCAAACCCUAACCCCUAACCCUAAUCCUCUAACCCUUCUGCAUCUCUGGGCCUCUCGACUCUCCGUCUAUUUUCUUCCUCCAAAUCCUACUAACACUCAGUGGAAUUUUGAAGUUUGAGCUGUGCUUUGCUUCUUGUUGUCUCCACCGGUCCCAUCAAGGCACUGCAUCAUUUGCUCUGCUUCACUAUUCAGUUCCAAAACCAUGGCUUAGAAUCGCCUGACACUGGACUUCAGCGAUUCGGUGCAAGGCCGCGAGAGGGCGCGCGCACCGCCGGUUCUGUUCUGCCCACCAGGCCCUCUGAGCAUGGGAACCUCCUGGACCUAAGCCCGGACGACCUGGGUACCGCUCCAGUGGCGACAGCAGAAGCUUUUCUUCCCGAGGGACCCAACGCCCCAGGGCGCUCUCUCAAUACUCCCGUUAAUGCUAUGAUUAUCCUAACCCACUCCUUCUGUGCGACCUAGUGGGUCCUCUACCAGGUCCAGCCUUCACGACCCGCACCCCCCUGCCGUGGUCAUGUACAGGAACCUGCAGGGCCGCGCCCUCCCCGCCCAAGCUCUGCCCCUCCAUACCCUGAUGCCCUGCAGGCCUCUACUAGGUACCCGCCCAGGGGAGAGUUGUCGCCCCGCACGGGUCGGGGGACACGAGGGAACAUUCGGAAACCACCCCCAGGCACGAAGCCGACUGCCGGAUUGCCGGUAUUGAGACCAUGUGAGCAGGGCUGCCCCGCCAACUGGAGCCUGCAGGACAUCACUCACGUUUGUCAGCUUCUCACCGCCCUCUGG
This is a long non-coding RNA of Loxodonta africana (African savanna elephant), 5157 nucleotides long. RefSeq lists it as uncharacterized. The record is from RefSeq and is a predicted model, not a curated record. The transcript is spliced from 5 exons. NCBI's taxonomy places the organism in Eukaryota, Metazoa, Chordata, Mammalia, Proboscidea, Elephantidae.